AACAGUCAAAUUUUUAAACCAAAACGGCAUCAUUUUGCUUUCUUCCAUUUUAUCCCAAUCCUUAUACCCGAUACUUAGUUAAUUUUCCCCCUAACAAAAUUUCCCCAAUUCCCUAAAUUUCCCUUAAUCCCUAAAUUUUCCCAAAUCAAAAUCCCUAGCCAUCAUCUGCCAUUGACCCGACCACCUGCUCAUCGCCAUCCACUGUCCCCUCUGCUAUCACCGUCGCUGUCACUCUUUGUUGCCGCAACCAGUCGAUAAAUUUCGCUCUCUGUUAUGAACAAAAUUAAAACUCUAAACUCACUCUAUUAUGAUUUGGGAAUUUAUUCUUUUCUUUACCCAACUACUUCUGAAUGGUGAUACUUCCUUGAACAGGUUAGUUUGCAGCCCUCAAAUAACGGAACUGCAUUGAAAGUUUAGAAGGAUGAUUUUUAGGAAAGCUUUGGAUGUUCAAUAUCAAUGGAGUGUUUUUAGUGGGAUAUUCUAGUGUCCCUCUCUGGUAUUCUUUUCGAUAACCAUGAGCUUUAAGUUGUUUGUGGCUAUUGUUUUCUCUUUUCCUAAUCUUCAAAAAUUACCUGUGUUGUUCUCUGUGUUUAUGAGGUUUAAUUGUCAUUCUGAUUUUUAGUUUCUAAGUGCCCAGGUUUCAUAUUUUUCCUUCUUGUUGUCUGUUUCCAUGGGAUGCACUUUUUGAAGGUUUCCCUGCUUGUUGCUUUUACACUUUGCUUCUUCCUUUGCGUUUUAGGACAGAUUUGGGCCUACACUUUGUUUUUGGAGUGUUUGAUUAGUUUUCAAGUUUUUCACGAAGACUUGGUUUCUUCAUGUUCCAAUCAUCCAUGUGUAAUGAAAAUCAAUUAGGACUUUCAUAGAGAGCUUACUUAAUUAUAAGUUAUUAAGGAUUCCACAACACAGAUUUAUUUUAAUUUUCUGGACAUUCUAACAUAUUUUUAACCAUUUUGUGGAUGACUUGCAAUAAGAAUGCUAAUCUAAACUAAAUUUUAGAAAUCUCAAACAAGGACUCUUUCAUUUCUAAAGGUUUUGGAAUCUUAUAAUAGAAAUGAUGGUUUUUAGGACAAAAUAUUUGGGAUGACAGAAAUGGUAAAAAAAAUGUUUGGAUGCGUAAAGAGCCCAUGUUGAAAAAGGACUUCAGUGGGGUGGGCAGCCUUCUUAAGGAUUCUUCAUGAAACAUUCAUUGACCUUUUUUAGAGAAAUUAAUUUUACAGUUUUUAGGAGUUUAGCCAUUCUUUUUAUUUAUUAAGUAAAAUUCAAUUAAUAAGCGCUAUAAUACAUUUUUAAUAAGUGAAUGUAGAUUCUAAUUUUAGAGGAAACUUAAGGUAGAACGAUUAUAAACUUCCACUAUAAAUAAUAAAUAUUCAAAUUCAAUAAAUUUCAACAAUCCUGCAUUCUUUUUAAGUUCCAAAAUGAAAAACUAAACUAAACUAAAAUAUUGAAAUUUUAUUUUUAGUAGUAUCCAUCCUCUCACUACAAAACUGUAUUAAUUAAUGUAUUUCAAAUUACAAUUUACAUUGUUUAGGGUUUAUAAAUUUAAAAUAAAAUAAAAUUAAACUUUGUUGUUAGUUACUGGAGAUAUAGAUUUAAGCAUUAUAUUUUAUUUUAAUCAUUUUUAUUUUUUAUGCUUUUUUUUUUAAUUUUAAACUUAAGUUAUCAUCAAACCGUAUAUAUUAAACUCAUUGAGUUAUAAAAUCGAGUUUUUUCAUGUUACAGGAUUGAAUUUAUCUUGGGUUCGAGUCAAAUUGAUCUCCGACUCGGAUUUGUUACGAGCUUGGGCCUUCUUGGGCUCUCGUUUUGUCGAACUCACAUUUUCUCAAGCUUGAAUUUUUUCUGAUUCAGAAUUGUUACAUCCGGUUUUCUCAAACUUAGAUUAUUACGGACUCGAAUUGAUAC
This 1899-nucleotide long non-coding RNA is filed under the name Gossypium barbadense (sea-island cotton). RNAcentral's name for it is "long non-coding RNA (GBAR_LNC001302)". Lineage: Eukaryota; Viridiplantae; Streptophyta; Magnoliopsida; Malvales; Malvaceae. The record is from RNAcentral.